This 615-nucleotide long non-coding RNA is filed under the name Ictidomys tridecemlineatus (thirteen-lined ground squirrel). Its description in RNAcentral is "lncRNA (ENSSTOG00000033879.1)". Lineage: Eukaryota; Metazoa; Chordata; Mammalia; Rodentia; Sciuridae. The record is from RNAcentral.
GUGGAGCGGAACCCGGCCCCGCGAUCCGGCCCGGGUUUUGCAUGCCACCCACUCGCCCGCUCGGCCGCGGAGAAUUCCAUAAUCACAGCGGGCGAGAGCGGAGACUGGGAGCGAAAAAUCCGGGAUCCGGCAACUUUGGGCAGCGCAUGCGCGCCCGCGGCGCUCCAUCCCAAACACACACACAUUUUUCCCCCGGACUUGGAAAGUCACCCAAAGCCGCCCCAAGUGCAGGCACACAGACCUUGGUGACAGAAGACAAAGAUCCCAUUGGCCCUUCCAGGUGCCCUGGCCACCAACCCCUCCUUCACAGGGGGGUCCUGCAACUCCCAGGUGGUGCGUGUUGGAAUGGACUUCAGACCCCAGCCUCUUGGGAUGCAAAGACAAAGUGGACAAGAAACCCCUGCUCUCACCAAGUUCCUGUAGCAGAGGUGACAACCAGCACACCCACAAAACUGAACAAAGACUUGGUGCUGAAUGGAAUGUGCCCGGGUCACUUAAGGCAGGAUGCACAGAGGAGGCCUCUGAGGUGACAGCUGAGAUGAAGGACAGGAAGUGGACAGCCAUCGGAAGAGCAGGCAGGAGAAUAUUCCAGAAAGGGAGAACAGGUAGUUUAAA